Molecule: ribosomal RNA, 266 nt
Filed under: uncultured prokaryote
Description: partial 16S ribosomal RNA
Rfam family: Bacterial small subunit ribosomal RNA
Source: RNAcentral
GCAGCCGCGGUAAGACGAACCGUCCGAACGUUAUUCGGUAUUACUGGGCUUAAAGAGUUCGUAGGCGGCUCUGUAGGUGAGAUGUGAAAGCCCUCGGCUCAACCGAGGAACAGCGUUUCAAACCACAGGGCUUGAGGAUGGCAGGGGUAGUGGGAACUGAUGGUGGAGCGGUGAAAUGCGUUGAUAUCAUCAGGAACACCGGUGGCGAAAGCGCACUACUGGGCCAUUUCUGACGCUGAGGAACGAAAGCUAGGGUAGCGAACGGG